ACGCACAAAAAGAAGGAUGGUACGUUCGUUGAUGAGAGGUCAAAGAAAAUCGCUGACGAAAUACAAGCACGGCGUGAUGCUGCAAUGCAAGAGGUGGAAGGGUCAACUAAGCCACCAGUUAUAGACAUGUCACAGAUAAAGAAACAAGUAUUU
Molecule: long non-coding RNA, 153 nt
Organism: Ipomoea nil (Japanese morning glory)
Lineage: Eukaryota; Viridiplantae; Streptophyta; Magnoliopsida; Solanales; Convolvulaceae
Exons: 4
Source: RefSeq, a predicted model, not a curated record